AGCAAUAUCUGUAGAAUUCUGUUUUUCUAUUUUCCUUUUACACUGUAAAUAUCAGUAGUUGGUAAAUAAAAAAGAUUGAAGAGACUUCAGGCUGAAUCCUAUCCAAUUUUGAAUCUACUUUAUUUCCUUAUCUCCAAUAAAAUUCUCCACAUUCCAUGAGAAUGAUGUUUCUCCUAGAAGUAAAUUAAUGAUAUUUUCUGAAUGAAGAAUAAAGCACCUGGUAUGAAAAUGUCUGCCAGAAAUUAUUAUGUGUUAAUAAGAAAGUACUCUAAAAUGUAUCUCUUUUCUAUCACUUGAGAAGUCAAUUCUUGUGUUCUUCUUAGUUUAUAAAUAUUUUGGGCUUCUUCUUCUCUGUAAACCUUGUGACUUGUUGUGGUUUGAACAUGUAAUAAAUCUCAAAGGUUCAUCUGUUUC
Molecule: long non-coding RNA, 414 nt
Filed under: Mus musculus (house mouse)
Lineage: Eukaryota; Metazoa; Chordata; Mammalia; Rodentia; Muridae
Description: long non-coding RNA chr19:11530842-11531256
Source: RNAcentral